GUUACGGUACACAAGUGGUCAAAGUGGUUGGCUUUAGGCGCCAAUGCCCUCAGGGCUUCGUGCGUUCAAACCGCACCCGUAGCA
RNAcentral lists this transfer RNA (84 nucleotides) under Kwoniella dejecticola CBS 10117. RNAcentral's name for it is "tRNA-Leu (TAG) (tRNA-Leu-TAG-1-1)". The record is from RNAcentral. Lineage: Eukaryota; Fungi; Basidiomycota; Tremellomycetes; Tremellales; Cryptococcaceae.